Molecule: long non-coding RNA, 513 nt
Filed under: Mustela putorius furo (domestic ferret)
Lineage: Eukaryota; Metazoa; Chordata; Mammalia; Carnivora; Mustelidae
Description: lncRNA (ENSMPUG00000023911.1)
Source: RNAcentral
UAAUUUGGGUGUAUGCUCUGUGUUCUUCGGGGCUUGUGUUGGACCGACAGAAAUGCCACAUUCCACAGCUCCAACCAGAUGAUCACCGAGCACAUAAAAGGCUGCCUCUGUAGGAGCCACCAGAGCUGGGUGCAGCCUUUCCUGAAAGAAGCAGGCCCCUGUGGGCAAUUCAAGGCAAAGGGAUUCAGAGACCGCUGGAAAAACGUGGGGCCCAACGUUUGUACAAGUUUCUCCAAUCCAAGAUGGCCCCUUGUAUCAGGUGCCUUGGAUGAGGCCACUGUUUUCAUUUCAAGUCAGCCUCAAAUGUCAUCCACGAAAGAACUCUUAAAGCUAACGCGGUCCAACUUCUCACCGUGUGCACAAGGACACCGAACCGCAGAGAAGUGUCGAGACUUGCCACUUGUGCUGAUGGGCGGUAUAGAGUCUGCUUCUAAACUCUGAAGGGUUCAAGAUUGGCUCCUCCAGUCACUGCUCAAUAGAACCAGAGACUUUUUUUUUUAAGAUUUNNNNNNN